This 781-nucleotide ribosomal RNA is filed under the name uncultured bacterium. RNAcentral describes it as "bacterial SSU rRNA". It matches the Rfam family "Bacterial small subunit ribosomal RNA", at positions 64 to 847 of the family's 1533-position model. The record is from RNAcentral.
GAAGGGAAGGGGCAGUUUACUGCCACGGAACAUUUUUUACUUUAGUGGCGGACGGGUGAGUAACGCGUGGGUAACCUGCCUUAUACAGGGGGAUAACACUUAGAAAUAGGUGCUAAGACCGCAUAAGCGCCCAGGGCCGCAUGGCCCAGGGUGAAAAACUCUGGUGGUAUAAGAUGGGCCCGCGUCUGAUUAGCCAGUUGGCAGGGUAACGGCCUACCAAAGCGACGAUCAGUAGCCGGCCUGAGAGGGUGGACGGCCACAUUGGGACUGAGACACGGCCCAAACUCCUACGGGAGGCAGCAGUGGGGGAUAUUGCACAAUGGGGGAAACCCUGAUGCAGCGACGCCGCGUGAGUGAAGAAGUAUUUCGGUAUGUAAAGCUCUAUCAGCAGGGAAGAAAGAAGACGGUACCUGAGUAAGAAGCCCCGGCUAACUACGUGCCAGCAGCCGCGGUAAUACGUAGGGGGCAAGCGUUAUCCGGAUUUACUGGGUGUAAAGGGAGCGUAGACGGCAAGGCAAGCCUGGAGUGAAAGGCGGGGGCCCAACCCCCGGACUGCUCUGGGAACUGUCUAGCUAGAGUGCAGGAGGGGUAAGUGGAAUUCCUAGUGUAGCGGUGAAAUGCGUAGAUAUUAGGAGGAACACCAGUGGCGAAGGCGGCUUACUGGACUGUAACUGACGUUGAGGCUCGAAAGCGUGGGGAGCAAACAGGAUUAGAUACCCUGGUAGUCCACGCCGUAAACGAUGAUCACUAGGUGUCGGGUGUUAAAGGAACGCUCGGUGCC